Gasterosteus aculeatus aculeatus (three-spined stickleback) is the source of this 3021-nucleotide long non-coding RNA. The record is from Ensembl. Lineage: Eukaryota; Metazoa; Chordata; Actinopteri; Perciformes; Gasterosteidae.
CCACCGGGGGGCGACUCCUCUGGUCCUAUAGGGGUCUGAAGGCUGCAUCGUCUCUAGUGACCACCGGGGGGCGACUCCUCUGGUCUUAAAGGCCUAAAAGACUUAACAAAUUGUAGCACUUUUUGAAAAUCUCCUUGUGGUUGAAAAGCACUUAUUGUAAGUUGCUUUGGAUAAAAGCGUCAGCUACAUGACAUUUAAUGUAAUGUAAUGCCUUCUCUCUAAUGACCACUGAGGGCGACUCUUUAGGUCAGACAGAAGUCUGUGGGGGAAACGUUCCUCCCCAUAACACGGCUGCACCGUGACGCCAGCUACUCGCCCGUUUGUCCUCGUGUGAGUGCAUGUGUGUGGGUGUGGUUUGGGCGUGGCUGCAAUCAGCUGGCAUCGUGGCUCCUCGCCUGUGGUUCAUUGGACCCUCGUCAGAUGAAAUUUCCCGGUCUUCAGUGGUCCCAUCACCACAUCCUUUCUCCACCAGUGUGGAUCUCCAGGCAACAACCAGCGCCUCGCGCUCCGGACUGCACUGGAUAAAUGUUCCACCUAUCUGCCGUCUCGCUGUCUGCAUCUGGGUCCCGAUUAAACCGACCAUAACAGAAAGCUCACUUAGAUGUAGACAACAUCACCACUUUGUCACUUUCAAAUAAAACAUUCAAAUGUAUGUAUUUCCUGCAGUAAAUUGGUCGUUUAAUGAAGAGUCAUUUCCUCUCUGUGUGAUUAAUUGAUGAAGUUCUUCUUCUCAGACUUCAUUUAGUUGCACAGUACAAUCCAUUUGUCACAAAACCAACGUCCAUUAUUCUCUGACUUAAACUUUGCCUGAGGAACGUAAUACUUCCAUUCCUCUGAUCAGACUCUGCUGGUCCCUCUGAGAUCAGGUCUCAGGGUUUCUUCUGGACAGGAAGUAGUGGGAGUCGUUGCAGCGCUCAGAUCUUCCCUCCGAAGGAGCAGACGGAUCGCUCCCCUUCAGGCCUCCGCUGCGAAUGAUAAUUAAUGGCACUGCCUUCCAGCGGUGCAUGCUGGGUAAGCUCUCCCCCCACCCAUCCAUCACCGCUGACAUCGGCAUUUAUGUGGUUAGCACCGCGAGAGGCUCGCUGCCGAGGAAGAAGGAGGAAGAGGACGAAGAAGAUGAAAGAGGAGGAGGAGGAGGAACAAUAUUAAGGAAGAGGAGGAGGACUGAUGAGCAGGCAGAUUUCUCCUAAGACAUUAAUCAAUGAAUCCAUCGACGGAGAACCGAUCCAGAAUUAUAGAGCACGAGAACCUCAGGACCUCACCGAAGAAUCACACAAUUUGAUUGAUAAUCAAAGAUAUUCACCCGACAAUCUUUGAUUAUCAAUUGGUAAAAGUAGUGGUCAAAGUAUGAAAAUAUCAUAUUGUGUCGGGAUAUCAUCCAAUCGUCAUCUUAUCGUGACUUAAGUCCGGUGAUGUCAUCGCAUCGUGACUUAAAUACGGCGAUGUCAUCGUAUCGUGACUAAAGUACGGCGAUGUCAUCGUAUCGUGACUUAAGUACGGCGAUGUCACAAUCACUAAUCACAUUACUUAGUGGAUCAAUAUUUGUAUUCUUCCGUUUUUCAAGUGAAAUCAGUAAAAAAGAGAAUAAACAGUGUCAACACAAACGAUGUCGUCAGGUGCAAACAGAAAAGACACCGAGGUGGAAACAUAAUGUGGGUCGAAGGUCAUCACCAGUGAGGAGGACGAGAGACGAAAGGAGGAGGCAGAGGAGGUGACAGUACUGGGUUAGUCCACCGCGGCUGGAUGAGGAGUGACAGCGAAGGAGGAGAAACACUGAGGAGCCGUCAGAGUGGAGACGGUUCACCGCUAGAAGGUCAUCAGCCGAGAGAGGAGCGAGGAGAAUGAUGGACGGAGGUGGAGAGCAGGAGAGAGGAGAGAGGAGGCGGAAGAGGAAGAGGAGGCCACGCUGUCGGGUCGAUUUGCCUCUCAAAGUAAAAGGAGAAAAAGGGUGAGAUUUUGAGGGAGUGGAGAGGUGAUCAGGUUAGCUUUGAGGUGAGGAGAUGUGACGGUGAGGAGGAGGAGCAUCGUGCAGAGGAACAUGAAAGAUGUAAGAGCGGAGCUGCAGGAGGAAACAUUGCUUCAUUUUAGCAGAGAAGUGCAGCUUGAAACAGCAGCAGCAGCCGAAGGAAACAAGGAGACAGAGGAGCCGUCUCGUCCUCGCUGCAGACUUGAAUUAAAGUGGUUCAAACCAGAGAAGAUGUUCCCUCUGAAAAGGUGAAGGAUCCUUUUUACUUUUAGGGUUCUCUGUGUUUAGAAGUUUCCUCCAAUCUGCCAACGUGCAGAAGUCUCCUGUGAUGAAGCAGGAGGCGGGGCUUCAAUGGACUCCUGCAGUAGCUUCGCCGUCUCCAUCCUCUGAUCGACAUGCUCAUUUUGCAUCUCUUCUUCUUCUUAGCGGGAGAGGAAAAUGUCGACGUCCAGGAGUUAUGAAGUUAUGAAGUGACGUUUCAGUGCUUCAGGUAGUUGAAGACGAGGAGCGACGAAGGCUCUCGUGUUGGAACCUCCGGUUCACAACAUUAAGUCAGAGCUUCAUGACUUUAAGUUCUCAAAAUGGAUUUAGAGCUAAAUCUCUAUAGCGACCACCAGGGGGCGAGCGACCAACCACCUCCUCCUAAUUACGUGUCGUCCUCUUGACACAGUUAAUAUAUUUAACGUCAGCAAGCGCCUUCAAAACAUUAUACAAUUGCCCACUACUUUCUGGACAGAGCGCACAACUACACCCCCACCGCCCCGUGUUUAUCCGCCACACAAACAUUGGAGGCUCGAAAGGUUGGAGGCCUUCAAUGAGAAAAUAACUCCAUACGACCAUAAAGCUGAGUGACAGCUCUAUGAUAGACCAUAACGCAGGGUAUGCUUUGGGGCGGGGCUACACGUUGAUUGACAGGUGUAAUAUAAAAACUCAAAGUUCUGGUAAAAAAACAAGUUUUCCCUCGUUAAACACAGUAAAGCAACGAGACCUUUAGGAGUCAACUAGAGGAAAUCAUCACCUCCUCCCCUUCUCUCCUUCUCUCCUCUCCUCCCCUC